Long non-coding RNA from Micropterus dolomieu (smallmouth bass), 477 nucleotides. RefSeq lists it as uncharacterized. The transcript is spliced from 3 exons. The record is from RefSeq and is a predicted model, not a curated record. Lineage: Eukaryota; Metazoa; Chordata; Actinopteri; Centrarchiformes; Centrarchidae.
UGAGCUUCUAGACGCCAAGAAUUCUACAAGAAGAAGAGGAAGAACGUAGUGAUGAAACGCACUCUGUACAAGAUCUAAGCAGAGAGGAGCGUCACCACCUUCGAAACCACCUAAGACACGACGAUGUCUGACUCCACCACGCAUUGCUCAGUAUACUCCUUCACCAGCUCCACGCUCAAGGUGUUGUGGCAGAACUCAGCCAUGGGCUUCCAGAGAGGUGGAUCCAGGAACAUCUGGCACAUCACGUGACCCUUCAGUGUGGCAGUGUGGUGCUGCAGGUGGCACAGGAACUGUUGCCGAGCCAGGUCCAGGUCUUUACCAAACAUGUCAAUGUUUAGGUAAUACCUGGUUUAAAAAAAGUGGACCAGUUCACUGAUUGUAAAGUGUUUCUUAUUCUGAAAAUGAAUAACAUAAUAACUUGCACUCUUAAAUACUAUGUGUAGUUUCUAAUAAAUGAGCAAUUCUGCUACCAUCCAA